This 468-nucleotide ribosomal RNA is filed under the name uncultured bacterium. Its description in RNAcentral is "partial 16S ribosomal RNA". It matches the Rfam family "Bacterial small subunit ribosomal RNA", at positions 28 to 507 of the family's 1533-position model. The record is from RNAcentral.
GACGAACGCUGGCGGCGUGCUUAACACAUGCAAGUCGAACGGAAAGGCCCUGCGUUUGUGGGGUUCUCGAGUGGCGAACGGGGGAGUAACACGUGAGUAACCUGCCCUUGACUUUGGGAUAACUUCAGGAAACUGGGGCUAAUACCGGAUAGGAUCUCCUGCUGCAUGGUGGGGGUUGGAAAGUUUCGGCGGUUGGGGAUGGACUCGCGGCUUAUCGUCUUGUUGGUGGGGUAGUGGCUUACCAAGGCUGUGACGGGUAGCCGGCCUGGGAGGGUGACCGGCCACCUUGGGACUGAGAUACGGCCCAGACUCCUACGGGAGGCAGCAGUGGGGAAUAUUGCACAAUGGGCGGAAGCCUGAUGCAGCAACGCCGCGUGCGGGAUGACGGCCUUCGGGUUGUAAACCGCUUUCGCCUGUGACGAAGCGUGAGUGACGGUAAUGGGUAAAGAAGCACCGGCUAACUACGUG